This is a long non-coding RNA of Salvia splendens (bonfire salvia), 435 nucleotides long. RefSeq lists it as uncharacterized. Lineage: Eukaryota; Viridiplantae; Streptophyta; Magnoliopsida; Lamiales; Lamiaceae. The record is from RefSeq and is a predicted model, not a curated record. The transcript is spliced from 3 exons.
CUCCCUACUGCUCUUUUCAUGCUAAGAACUCAAGCCACCCUUGCCCCUUUCCUUGCAAUUAGGAGCUUCGGAGUGGUGGGCAAACGUUGAGUCUAGAACCAGAAAAAUACUCAAAGAAACAACUACUUUAAAGGAGGGACGUCUUCGCGCAUCGUUUAAAAUCAAAUCAAGGAGUCUGCUCGGCUAGAGAAAUGGCUUUUGAGGUUGAACGUGAACGAGGAGGCGAAUGUGUUGAGAAAUGACUAUUAAUAAGUAGUUAGGUAGCCCAGAUUAGUAUGUCUUCAUACCUACUAUUUUGUCUUGGACUCUUCCGCUGUAAUAGAACUAUGUUCUAGGAAUUAUGAAUUUAGUCUUGAUACUCUUAUUUUCUUUUGACUAUGUACCCAUUCACCGUCGAAACUAUUACCUCGAGUUGAUUUAUUGCUCUUAUGUUUA